Molecule: ribosomal RNA, 498 nt
Filed under: uncultured bacterium
Lineage: Bacteria
Description: partial 16S ribosomal RNA
Rfam family: Bacterial small subunit ribosomal RNA
Source: RNAcentral
GACGAACGCUGGCGGCGUGCCUAAUACAUGCAAGUCGAGCGGACGAAUCGAAAGCUUGCUUUUGAUUCGUUAGCGGCGGACGGGUGAGUAACACGUGGGCAACCUGCCCUGUAGACGGGGAUAACACCGAGAAAUCGGUGCUAAUACCGGAUAACACGACAUGUCGCAUGACGUUUCGUUUAAAGACGGCGCAAGCUGUCGCUACAGGAUGGGCCCGCGGCGCAUUAGCUAGUUGGUGAGGUAACGGCUCACCAAGGCGACGAUGCGUAGCCGACCUGAGAGGGUGAUCGGCCACACUGGGACUGAGACACGGCCCAGACUCCUACGGGAGGCAGCAGUAGGGAAUCUUCCGCAAUGGACGAAAGUCUGACGGAGCAACGACGCGUGAGCGAAGAAGGCCUUCGGGUCGUAAAGCUCUGUUGUUAGGGAAGAACAAGUAACGCAGUAACUGGCGUGACAGUGACGGUACCUAACGAGAAAGCCACGGCUAACUACGUG